GGGAAAACUAGGUCAGGGGAAACAUGAGGGAAGAAAUAAACUAAAAGUCCAUGGUGGUGACAAUAUGCAUAUUGGAUGUUUAU
Molecule: long non-coding RNA, 83 nt
Organism: Sinocyclocheilus grahami
Lineage: Eukaryota; Metazoa; Chordata; Actinopteri; Cypriniformes; Cyprinidae
Exons: 3
Source: RefSeq, a predicted model, not a curated record